CCCCGCCUCUCGGCCGCGUCGCGCCGCAAUCCCCUCCCUCAUCGCCUCCUCGCCCCUUGCCAGCCGAAAUCCACUCGCGUGGUCGUUCGGAGGGAGAAGCUGCAAGGAGCCCCCCAGCUCCGCAAGGGUUGCGCGGGACCUUCCGUCACCCGCUGGUGCGCAGGGAGGUGUUUAUAGGGCCGAGGCUCCCCCCUGCCCCACGAAACUCACGGCCUCCCCUCCGCUACCGGUGGGUGAGGAGAGCCGCGAUCGCCUCCCCCGCCGCAGCCGGAGCGGGGGACCAGCCUCCCCCUUUGCCACGGGGGCAGCAUGAAGAAGAUCCUUAGCGCUGACGAUUUCAUAAAUUAUAUGGCUCUUCCCUGAUGCUCCAUAAAUGGCCACUGGUACCUUUUUCUUUUCACUGCCUCAUCUACUCUCACCAAAAUUUAUCAUUUGCUUAUACAUAUCUUUGUUGCACAUUAUUGCAAGCUGGUUUUGUUCAGUGCUGUCCAUGCUGCAAAGCAGAAGUGGGAAUAGAUAUCUUCUAAAACAUGGCCAAGUUUUCAAAUGUUAACUUUGCUAGGAGGGCAAAGAAACACCAGCAAAACUAUUUGCAUCUUCAGUCAUCUCUAGGUCCCAAAUUAGUAUGUGGGAACAAUGAUUGAAGAAUAUGAAGUCCUUAGUUUUAAUGUUUGUAACACAGUUCAACAGCAUUUAAAUAAAUUUCUUCUGGAUGAGACAGUUUAAAGACAUCUGUUGGGUUAGGUUGUUCUUUUAUCUUGAGUAACUCUGGCCUUCUAAUACAACCACUCAGACUUUCUUCAAAACAGUAAAGUUGCUUUCUGUUACAGA
Parus major (Great Tit) is the source of this 831-nucleotide long non-coding RNA. RefSeq lists it as uncharacterized. The record is from RefSeq and is a predicted model, not a curated record. Lineage: Eukaryota; Metazoa; Chordata; Aves; Passeriformes; Paridae. The transcript has 4 exons.